This 448-nucleotide ribosomal RNA is filed under the name uncultured bacterium. RNAcentral describes it as "partial 16S ribosomal RNA". It matches the Rfam family "Bacterial small subunit ribosomal RNA", at positions 330 to 792 of the family's 1533-position model. The record is from RNAcentral.
GCCAGACUCCUACGGGAGGCAGCAGUGGGGAAUAUUGGACAAUGGGGGGAACCCUGAUCCAGCGACGCCGCGUGAGUGAAGAAGUAUUUCGGUAUGUAAAGCUCUAUCAGCAGGGAAGAAAGAAAUGACGGUACCUGACUAAGAAGCCCCGGCUAACUACGUGCCAGCAGCCGCGGUAAUACGUAGGGGGCAAGCGUUAUCCGGAUUUACUGGGUGUAAAGGGAGCGUAGACGGCCAUGCAAGCCAGGGGUGAAAGCCCGGGGCCCAACCCCGGGACUGCCCUUGGAACUGCAUGGCUGGAGUGCGGGAGGGGCAGGCGGAAUUCCUGGUGUAGCGGUGAAAUGCGUAGAUAUCAGGAGGAACACCGGCGGCGAAGGCGGCCUGCUGGACCGCGACUGACGUUGAGGCUCGAAAGCGUGGGGAGCGAACAGGAUUAGAUACCCCAGUA